AAAUAAAAACACAAAAAAA
RNAcentral lists this small RNA (19 nucleotides) under Arabidopsis thaliana (thale cress). RNAcentral describes it as "ATSL174560". The record is from RNAcentral. Lineage: Eukaryota; Viridiplantae; Streptophyta; Magnoliopsida; Brassicales; Brassicaceae.